GCUUUACUGAAAUCUAUUCUUUACCCCUUAUAAAAAGAAGUCCCAUUUUUCAGCGACUGAACUGCUUCUAGCUACUUUUUCUCUUUCCAGCUGCUGGAGUUGCUUGCUGCUGGGAACCCUGAUUCAUCCAGGCCCUCACUGGACACACAGCUCCAGCAGGGAUCCCUCCAGAGCACAGAGAACCAUCCCAGCCAUCCUGCUUCUACUGACGAAGCCUGGACCCAGAUUAACUCUCCUGAGUGACCAUGCCACACACCUGACUCACAUUAAAUUUAACGGUCAACUGAAACCCUCACACUUCUGGGGCAGGGACUCACUCCCUGGUCCAGGGAAUUUCUAGGAAAACAGACUUUAUGUAGUUCCUUAUUACUUGUUCAAUGGAAAAUGGUGUCUGAGCUUCCCCCCACCCCCAACCACGAUAUUUAAUGUAUGAGAG
This is a long non-coding RNA of Bos taurus (domestic cattle), 436 nucleotides long. The record is from Ensembl. Lineage: Eukaryota; Metazoa; Chordata; Mammalia; Artiodactyla; Bovidae.